GGGUGGUUAGCUCAGCUGGCAGAGCAACUGGUUUACACCCAGUAGGUCGGCGGUUCGAUCCCGUCACCACCCACCA
RNAcentral lists this transfer RNA (76 nucleotides) under Glycocaulis profundi. RNAcentral's name for it is "Glycocaulis sp. ZYF765 tRNA-Val". It matches the Rfam family "tRNA". From Rfam's summary of the family: Transfer RNA (tRNA) molecules are approximately 80 nucleotides in length. Their secondary structure includes four short double-helical elements and three loops (D, anti-codon, and T loops). Further hydrogen bonds mediate the characteristic L-shaped molecular structure. tRNAs have two regions of fundamental functional importance: the anti-codon, which is responsible for specific mRNA codon recognition, and the 3' end, to which the tRNAs corresponding amino acid is attached (by aminoacyl-tRNA synthetases). tRNAs cope with the degeneracy of the genetic code in two manners: having more than one tRNA (with a specific anti-codon) for a particular amino acid; and 'wobble' base-pairing, i.e. permitting non-standard base-pairing at the 3rd anti-codon position. The record is from RNAcentral. Lineage: Bacteria; Pseudomonadati; Pseudomonadota; Alphaproteobacteria; Maricaulales; Maricaulaceae.